Cyclopterus lumpus (lumpfish) is the source of this 3615-nucleotide RNA transcript. It is a transcript of the gene named 5'-AMP-activated protein kinase subunit gamma-2-like, with no coding region annotated. The record is from RefSeq and is a predicted model, not a curated record. Lineage: Eukaryota; Metazoa; Chordata; Actinopteri; Perciformes; Cyclopteridae. The transcript is spliced from 15 exons.
CUAGACACAGGCCAGCGCCUCAGCCUUCCCUGCGCUAAACCCCCGAUGCCGUCCUCGAGCCCUGUGCCAUCCUACUCUACCUCGCAACAAUCCAACAGAUUUAGCAGUGACUUCUUUCACCAGUCGGCAUUGUUGGAACGUGAACACAUAUUUGGUGUGUCGAGCUGUUUAUGGAGGAGAGAGAUUUCACAUCACAGGUACAAACUGGUUCAAAGGUCACCUCCAUUGUCUGGCUCUAGAAGCGGGUGGCUUAGACUUAUCGAGUACUGACUGAUAAUAUGUGACAACAUUUGCUGGUACAAUGCUGUAUCUUUGCACCACUUCAGUAUCGGUUAUGCUAAGUCAAAUUGUAUGACGGUACUGAUAAAUACAAAAUGGAUCACAAGACGAUUUUCUCCUUUGUGGCAACAGCACGACAGUCUGUCCAUGAGUCAUGCGCCGCUUUACUCACUGUGCUUUACUCUGUGUCAUGAGGGUUGUUUACUUGGGCAAUGGUGAACAGAAAGCAUGGAUGAUGCUCUGACGCUGGAGCACGAUGUGUGAGUCAGCUCGGAGAAGAUGAAUACUAUCUCUGCAUUGAAGCAAUGUCUCAAGCGGCAUUAGACGCAGUGUUUUGUUCCAGGGUUUUUCGUUGUGGGUUUUUAUUUAGGAUUCACCGCAGUCUGAGUCAGGGUGUGACACCAGGUUUCCCCGCAGGUAGUGUGCCCAUUUAAUGAAUAAUUAUCCCACGGUCUGUCUCCACCUUUCAGCCGUGAGUGAUUGUGCAUUCUAGCUAGAGAAGGUAAGUCAAUAUUUCAUCACCAACAUUGAAUACCGUUGCUAUUAACACCUAAGGACUCAUGAUUGUGGUUGAGGAGCGAUGAGUCAGUGCCUGUUGGCCUCUCUCUGCCCCCCCCUCUCUCCGUUAUUCAUAAGUGCAGGCUGACCAAAUACUCUCUUUUUUUUUGCUCAAUCCAGGUACAAAAGCAAUUCAUUUAAUGGAUGUGUGCAUGUCUGCUUCCCUGGAGUUUGCUGGAAUACAAAAGCAGACUGAGUGCACGCUGUGAUGCAGCAGGGCAAAGAUUUAUGAAAGUGCAGGAGUGGGGUUUUCCUGGCGAGAGAAGUGCUGUGUCACCAUUGCAAGGUGACACUGGAGACCGUCUAGCAUCCCAGAGCAGGUCUGCGGCUUAUUCGAAGGCAUGCUGGAGAAACUUGAACUAGAUGAUGAUGCUGCUGAACCUGAGAGUGAUAUUUACAUGCGCUUCAUGAAAUCCCACAAGUGCUAUGACAUCGUCCCCACAAGCUCCAAGCUGGUUGUGUUCGACACGGCACUCCAAGUGAAGAAAGCGUUCUUCGCCUUGGUAGCCAACGGUGUGCGAGCUGCUCCACUAUGGGACACAGAGAAGCAAAGCUUUGUGGGAAUGCUGACAAUCACAGAUUUCAUCAUCAUACUACACCGAUACUAUAAGUCACCAAUGGUUCAAAUAUAUGAAUUGGAGGAGCAUAAGCUUGAGACAUGGAGAGAGGUUUACCUUCAAGCGACAUUCAAACCUCUGGUCAACAUAUCACCUGAUGCAAGCCUGUUUGAUGCAGUGUACACACUCAUCAAAAACAAAAUUCACCGCCUGCCUGUCAUCGACCCCGUCACGGGGAAUGCACUUUAUAUUCUCACACACAAGAGGAUCCUCAAGUUCCUCCAGCUUUUUAUGUGUGAAAUGCCAAAGCCAGCUUUCAUGAAGCAGACUCUCGGGGAGCUGGGCAUCGGUUCGUACCACGACAUUGCUUUCAUCCACCCGAACACGCCCAUCAUCAAAGCACUCAACAUAUUUGUGGAGAAGAGAGUGUCCGCCCUGCCUGUGGUGGAUGAGUCGGGCAAAGUUGUGGAUAUUUACUCCAAGUUCGAUGUGAUCAACUUGGCUGCCGAGAAGACGUACAACAACCUGGACAUCACGGUGACGCAGGCUCUCAAACACCGCUCCCAGUACUUCGAAGGAGUCAUGAAGUGCCAUAAAAUGGAAACGAUGGAGACCAUUGUGGACCGAAUCGUCAAAGCUGAAGUGCAUCGGUUGGUGGUGGUGGACGAGCGCUCGAGCAUCGAGGGCAUCGUCUCCCUGUCCGACAUCCUCCAGGCCCUGGUGCUCAGCCCGGCAGGUAGGAAACACACCUGCGUUGCCGCCUGUAGCUGGCUGUGAGGAGGAGGCAUGGUGGCGCCUGGCGUCCUGGUUGCUGUGCUGGAGGCUGCUGCAUGCAGCAGUGUCGUGUGGGUGUUUUCGGGGGUGAAGAGGCUGCCACAUUCUGUCGGGACACAAGACUCCACUGCUGCUGAUGGCUGUAAGGAGGAGACCCUGACUGAGUGAGAGGGAGGAAGCGUCGGUGGAGUAAUUAAGUGUGGUGGUUGAGGUCGGGCCCUUUGCGCAGAGCAGAACCGGUCUCACGGUGCCAGAGACCCCUGCAACGGAUGCACUGUAGAGGCUUGGAAACCAAAGAGCUAGACGGCGGCAUGGAGUGGAGUUCCUGCACCGAGGACGGAUUUUCUGUUUGUUUGAACAUUGAUCACACACACACACACACACACACAAUAUACUGUAUUUAAACAGACGCAUACGUAGAGAUGCAUUUUGGUCACUUGCUUGGGCGAAGGUGGGGAAGUCUAGACUGCUCCUGAUGAAUUAGUUUUGGGUUGUAGUGACAAUCAUGCUGCUGUCAAUCGGUUGAUUGUUAGAUGCAUUUUGGAGUCAGGACGGAAUGUCAUCACCUUCAGAAAAACGUGUCAGUUUUUGGUGUAGAGGCAACUUUGUGUUUGGUAGCAAAACAACACUUCACCUGAAAUGUGGCCGUUACAAAAAAAACAAAAAACAUUUGCCAGUGCCAAUAUGGAGGGAUUGAUGCUGAAUCUUUAUUUGUGCCUUUUGUUGCCCUGCCCACUUAAAACUGGCAAGAAGUUGUCCUUUGGAAUUUGCAUAGUCAAAUGAGUGCAAUUAUUAUACUACUUGUAAUUCAAACAUUGUUUUCCUUUUUAUUUUGUUGUAUUUUCUCAGAUUUUUAAACCAUGUCAGAAGUGUCAAAUGUCUGGAAAGAAAAGAAAAGAAAUCCUAAAUAAAAUCGAAAUAAAUUUGGCACAAAAACAUGCAGUGGUUGGAGGCAAAUACAACGGUAUAUCAAAAAGUAUGUCAGUUAGUACUUUUAUGUCAUCAUUCAGACUCCUUGCCUUUUGUAAUAUUGGUUACAAGACCGUAAAAUGUCUUUUCCGAUGUUUGCCUUCCAAUUGUUUUGACGCUUCAAAUAUUUUGAUUCUCGCAAACAUGCGAAACAUUCACGUUCUCUCUGCUGUAGCUCGACAGGAAUCAUCUCUGACUGUAAAUAAGAUUGGUUGGUUUUUUUCGGGGGAAACGUGUCUCACAAAGCUUUAUUUUUAUGAGUGUGUCAACAUGUUUAAAGAGACUGCAGUUUUAUUGUUAUUUUUGUAAAUAUAUUGUUGCAAUAUGUCCGGUUCUAAGAGACUUUGUAUCAGAUCCAAAUGUACUGUAAAUGUGCAAGCAUGAGAAACUACACUUCAGCAGUUUGAAUGUCCUUUGUUUGACUUUUUUCUAUUUUUCUUGCUGCAGAAAAAUAAAUGGACACUGAAUGUACUUUAAA